Molecule: ribosomal RNA, 397 nt
Filed under: uncultured Sphingomonas sp.
Lineage: Bacteria; Pseudomonadati; Pseudomonadota; Alphaproteobacteria; Sphingomonadales; Sphingomonadaceae
Description: bacterial SSU rRNA
Rfam family: Bacterial small subunit ribosomal RNA
Source: RNAcentral
AACGCGAAGAACCUUACCAGCGUUUGACAUGCCCGGACGCCUUCCAGAGAUGGAUUGCUUCCCUUCGGGGACCGGAGCACAGGUGCUGCAUGGCUGUCGUCAGCUCGUGUCGUGAGAUGUUGGGUUAAGUCCCGCAACGAGCGCAACCCUCGCCUUUAGUUACCAUCAUUCAGUUGGGGACUCUAAAGGAACCGCCGGUGAUAAGCCGGAGGAAGGUGGGGAUGACGUCAAGUCCUCAUGGCCCUUACGCGCUGGGCUACACACGUGCUACAAUGGCGGUGACAGUGGGCAGCAAUCGGGCGACCGUGAGCUAAUCUCCAAAAGCCGUCUCAGUUCGGAUUGUUCUCUGCAACUCGAGAGCAUGAAGGCGGAAUCGCUAGUAAUCGCGAUCAGCGCG